CCAGAAUCCUCCUCACCUCUCCGGUCAGCAGGUAGAUGAUCUCCAGGGUGAGUUUCAGUAUGCGCUCGGUCAGGUGACUCCGGUCCUCCUCCAUCUUCAU
This is a long non-coding RNA of Nanorana parkeri, 100 nucleotides long. RefSeq lists it as uncharacterized. Lineage: Eukaryota; Metazoa; Chordata; Amphibia; Anura; Dicroglossidae. The transcript has 3 exons. The record is from RefSeq and is a predicted model, not a curated record.